CCUUGAAGGAGUUUGACAUCCAUUACAGGCAAGCAUCACUGCCCAAGAACCAGGGUCUCCAAUACCAAGAUAUGAAAGCAAGGACUGUUCUGAAACAAGACCAAAUCUAUGCUUUUCAUUAGGUAGAAAGAACUCUCUUGCCACAGCCAUGAACUUUGAGAAGCUGGAGUCGAAUUGUUGAAACUGUUCAUAGGUACAAGAAA
This 203-nucleotide long non-coding RNA is filed under the name Linum usitatissimum (flax). Its description in RNAcentral is "long non-coding RNA (LUSI_LNC000040)". The record is from RNAcentral. Lineage: Eukaryota; Viridiplantae; Streptophyta; Magnoliopsida; Malpighiales; Linaceae.